Small nucleolar RNA from Octodon degus (degu), 82 nucleotides. NCBI's taxonomy places the organism in Eukaryota, Metazoa, Chordata, Mammalia, Rodentia, Octodontidae. The record is from Ensembl.
UAUCCUGAAAUGAUGUCUAAAUUUCGUGUCUCUGACAGUUUUCUGUGGAGAUGGUUUUUGCUGUAUUGAUCUGAUCAGGCUG